Long non-coding RNA from Xiphophorus couchianus (Monterrey platyfish), 615 nucleotides. RefSeq lists it as uncharacterized. The transcript is spliced from 3 exons. Lineage: Eukaryota; Metazoa; Chordata; Actinopteri; Cyprinodontiformes; Poeciliidae. The record is from RefSeq and is a predicted model, not a curated record.
CAGAAAAUCAGCGUAUAUCAAGUCUGCAGUCCGCCCUGUCCGGUUCUCUGUAUGUCCCAUAACUCCUCGUUUUGCUCAGACAUUUCGUAUACAUAUGAGAGGAGGUGAAAUGAGCUAAUGCUCCGUCUGCAGAUGUGCUGUGGGUAAUUUCAGCUGUUCUCCUAAGGUUGUCCUUUAAUGCAUUGCAGGUGUUUGGUGUGUUUUUCAGCAGAUGACAGCACUGGAAGGCCGUUUUAGCUAGAUAUUCUUCUUUGCCGUUGCAAGAAAAGCUAUAUAGCUUUUUAUUGUAAUAUUCACCCUUUUCAACUACGUCACUGAAUCAUUCCAGGCGCCAUGAUGGACGUCGGGAGUGAGGGACCCAUAAAACAUCGAAGAAGAAGAAAAUAGGAUGGAGGAAAGUACUUCGACCAUCUAUGGAGAGAUCCCUGAACUGGAAACCGCAGCCUUUGCUCUGCACUUGGUGAAGUCUUGGUGGACUGGUACGUUGACUUUGGAUCAGAGAGCCUUCGCUAACCAUUAAAGUGAGUUGUUUUGUUUUUUUUUUACAGUCAGCAAUGUAGUUCUAUAUGUUAACGUAAAAUAUGAAAGAAGGUAAUUCUUGAGUUGCCAACAAAA